This 69-nucleotide transfer RNA is filed under the name Sinocrossocheilus labiatus. RNAcentral's name for it is "tRNA-His". It matches the Rfam family "tRNA". From Rfam's summary of the family: Transfer RNA (tRNA) molecules are approximately 80 nucleotides in length. Their secondary structure includes four short double-helical elements and three loops (D, anti-codon, and T loops). Further hydrogen bonds mediate the characteristic L-shaped molecular structure. tRNAs have two regions of fundamental functional importance: the anti-codon, which is responsible for specific mRNA codon recognition, and the 3' end, to which the tRNAs corresponding amino acid is attached (by aminoacyl-tRNA synthetases). tRNAs cope with the degeneracy of the genetic code in two manners: having more than one tRNA (with a specific anti-codon) for a particular amino acid; and 'wobble' base-pairing, i.e. permitting non-standard base-pairing at the 3rd anti-codon position. Lineage: Eukaryota; Metazoa; Chordata; Actinopteri; Cypriniformes; Cyprinidae. The record is from RNAcentral.
GCAAGUAUAGUUUAACUAAAAUGUUAGAUUGUGAUUCUAAAGAUAAGAGUUAAAAUCUCUUUAUUUACC